AUUUAAGGGUUGGCAGUGGAGGUGACAGGGUCUUACUGGGGAACCCUGCCUGCUUGAAGCCUUCUAAAGCGGGGCUCUGUAUGAAGUGAUUGUGCUGUGACUGACCCAAAGUACAAGCCUUCCUCCUGCCUUAUCAAAGUGAAGUGAUUUUGUAAGAAGUUAUCAGUUCAGCAAGGCAUGAUGCAAAACUUGGGGAGUCUUCACAAGCAAUCUGGAGGAAUGAGUCUGCGGUAGAAAGGACAGUGCCUGUGAAAUUAUUACUUAAAACAGAGUCCAGAGUCUCAGGAUGUUAUCCUUGAGUGACCUGGGAAGGAGCGAACUCCUUCAUAGCUGAAGAGCAUGUGACGUUGACUGUUGUCAGGAAACUUGCAGCUGCAGGAUAACAGCCUGAAACUUUUUAAUGGGGAAGCUUCUUUUCUGUUGGCAUCCUUCUUUACUUUUAACUCAAAAGUCUCUGUAAUAUUCUGUGUUUUUAGCACUUUGGCGUUCUGAUUUCAUACUGCAAAACAGAUAAUUUGUAACUCUCCAGAUCUCACCAGUGCCUCCAAAGGAUGCGUGUUGCCUCACAGACAUUUUUUUUUUCCUCUUUUAUUUCUUUUUUCCAACACAUAAAGCUAUAAAC
RNAcentral lists this long non-coding RNA (622 nucleotides) under Gallus gallus (chicken). RNAcentral describes it as "lncRNA (ENSGALG00010021997.1)". The record is from RNAcentral. Lineage: Eukaryota; Metazoa; Chordata; Aves; Galliformes; Phasianidae.